UACGUAGGGACCAAGCGUUGUUCGGAUUUACUGGGCGUAAAGGGCGCGUAGGCGGCAUGACAAGUCACUUGUGAAAUCUCUGGGCUUAACCCAGAACGGCCAAGUGAUACUGUCACGCUAGAGUGCGGAAGGGGCAAUCGGAAUUCUUGGUGUAGCGGUGAAAUGCGUAGAUAUCAAGAGGAACACCUGAGGUGAAGACGGGUUGCUGGGCCGACACUGACGCUGAGUGCGCGAAAGCCAGGGGAGCAAACGGG
RNAcentral lists this ribosomal RNA (254 nucleotides) under uncultured bacterium. Its description in RNAcentral is "partial 16S ribosomal RNA". It matches the Rfam family "Bacterial small subunit ribosomal RNA", at positions 524 to 776 of the family's 1533-position model. The record is from RNAcentral.